AGAGUUUGAUCAUGGCUCAGAACGAACGCUGGCGGCAGGCCUAAUACAUGCAAGUCGAGCGGACGUAGCAAUACGUCAGCGGCGGACGGGUGAGUAACACGUGGGAACAUGCCCUUCGGUACGGAACAACUCAGGGAAACUUGAGCUAAUACCGUAUGCGCCGGCAACGGGAAAGAUUUAUCGCCGAAGGAUUGGCCCGCGUCCGAUUAGCUAGUUGGUGAGGUAAAGGCUCACCAAGGCACCGAUCGGUAGCUGGUUUGAGAGAACGACCAGCCACACUGGGACUGAGACACGGCCCAGACUCCUACGGGAGGCAGCAGUAGGGAAUCUUGGACAAUGGGGGAAACCCUGAUCCAGCCAUGCCGCGUGAGUGAUGAAGGCCUUCGGGUUGUAAAACUCUUUCGGCGGGGACGAUAAUGACGGUACCCGCAGAAGAAGCUCCGGCUAACUUCGUGCCAGCAGCCGCGGUAAUACGAAGGGGGCUAGCGUUGUUCGGAAUUACUGGGCGUAAAGCGCGCGCAGGCGGCCUUUCAAGUCAGGGGUGAAAGCCCGGAGCUCAACUCCGGAAUUGCCUUUGAAACUGUCAGGCUCGAGUACGGGAGAGGUGAGUGGAAUUCCCAGUGUAGAGGUGAAAUUCGUAGAUAUUGGGAAGAACACCGGUGGCGAAGGCGGCUCACUGGCCCGUUUCUGACGCUCAGGCGCGACAGCGUGGGGAUCAAACAGGAUUAGAUACCCUAGUAGUCC
Molecule: ribosomal RNA, 744 nt
Filed under: uncultured bacterium
Lineage: Bacteria
Description: bacterial SSU rRNA
Rfam family: Bacterial small subunit ribosomal RNA
Source: RNAcentral